This 834-nucleotide ribosomal RNA is filed under the name Escherichia coli. Its description in RNAcentral is "partial 23S ribosomal RNA". It matches the Rfam family "Bacterial large subunit ribosomal RNA", at positions 911 to 1744 of the family's 2925-position model. Lineage: Bacteria; Pseudomonadati; Pseudomonadota; Gammaproteobacteria; Enterobacterales; Enterobacteriaceae. The record is from RNAcentral.
UGUUUCGGCAAGGGGGUCAUCCCGACUUACCAACCCGAUGCAAACUGCGAAUACCGGAGAAUGUUAUCACGGGAGACACACGGCGGGUGCUAACGUCCGUCGUGAAGAGGGAAACAACCCAGACCGCCAGCUAAGGUCCCAAAGUCAUGGUUAAGUGGGAAACGAUGUGGGAAGGCCCAGACAGCCAGGAUGUUGGCUUAGAAGCAGCCAUCAUUUAAAGAAAGCGUAAUAGCUCACUGGUCGAGUCGGCCUGCGCGGAAGAUGUAACGGGGCUAAACCAUGCACCGAAGCUGCGGCAGCGACGCUUAUGCGUUGUUGGGUAGGGGAGCGUUCUGUAAGCCUGUGAAGGUGUGCUGUGAGGCAUGCUGGAGGUAUCAGAAGUGCGAAUGCUGACAUAAGUAACGAUAAAGCGGGUGAAAAGCCCGCUCGCCGGAAGACCAAGGGUUCCUGUCCAACGUUAAUCGGGGCAGGGUGAGUCGACCCCUAAGGCGAGGCCGAAAGGCGUAGUCGAUGGGAAACAGGUUAAUAUUCCUGUACUUGGUGUUACUGCGAAGGGGGGACGGAGAAGGCUAUGUUGGCCGGGCGACGGUUGUCCCGGUUUAAGCGUGUAGGCUGGUUUUCCAGGCAAAUCCGGAAAAUCAAGGCUGAGGCGUGAUGACGAGGCACUACGGUGCUGAAGCAACAAAUGCCCUGCUUCCAGGAAAAGCCUCUAAGCAUCAGGUAACAUCAAAUCGUACCCCAAACCGACACAGGUGGUCAGGUAGAGAAUACCAAGGCGCUUGAGAGAACUCGGGUGAAGGAACUAGGCAAAAUGGUGCCGUAACUUCGGGAGAA